UACGUAGGGGGCUAGCGUUGUUCGGAUUUAUUGGGCGUAAAGAGCGUGUAGGCGGCCAGGUAGGUCUGGUGUGAAAACUCGAGGCUUAACCUCGAGAUGUCAUCGGAAACCAUUUGGCUAGAGUCCGGAAGAGGAGAGUGGAAUUCCUGGUGUAGCGGUGAAAUGCGCAGAUAUCAGGAAGAACACCAAUGGCGAAAGCAGCUCUCUGGGACGGUACUGACGCUGAGACGCGAAAGCGUGGGGAGCGAACAGG
This 253-nucleotide ribosomal RNA is filed under the name uncultured bacterium. Its description in RNAcentral is "partial 16S ribosomal RNA". It matches the Rfam family "Bacterial small subunit ribosomal RNA", at positions 524 to 776 of the family's 1533-position model. The record is from RNAcentral.